UACGUAGGGAGCAAGCGUUGUCCGGAAUCAUUGGGCGUAAAGCGCGCGUAGGCGGCCCGAUAAGUCCGUUGUGAAAGUCAAAGGCUCAACCUUUGAAUGCCGAUGGAUACUGUCGGGCUAGAGUCCGGAAGAGGCGAGUGGAAUUCCUGGUGUAGCGGUGGAAUGCGCAGAUAUCAGGAGGAACACCAAUAGCGAAGGCAGCUCGCUGGGACGGUACUGACGCUGAGACGCGAAAGCGUGGGGAGCGAACAGG
This 253-nucleotide ribosomal RNA is filed under the name uncultured bacterium. RNAcentral describes it as "partial 16S ribosomal RNA". It matches the Rfam family "Bacterial small subunit ribosomal RNA", at positions 524 to 776 of the family's 1533-position model. The record is from RNAcentral.